RNAcentral lists this unclassified non-coding RNA (292 nucleotides) under fungal sp. RNAcentral describes it as "partial internal transcribed spacer region". The stretch from base 1 to 46 matches the Rfam family "Eukaryotic small subunit ribosomal RNA", at positions 1786 to 1831 of the family's 1831-position model. Lineage: Eukaryota; Fungi. RNAcentral also lists the same sequence under 1 other name. The record is from RNAcentral.
AAGUCGUAACAAGGUUUCCGUAGGUGAACCUGCGGAAGGAUCAUUAAUGAAUGAUAAUUUUUUGGGGUUUUCCCUGAAAAAUAAUCCACCAUUUGUGCAUUGUUAUUUAGAUAUACUUUGGUUAGAGCUUUGAUUUCAUUUAUUGGAAUCAACUUCUUGCUGACUCUAUCCUUUCUGAGGACAGUUGGCUAUGAAGCGGCCUACCAAGGUUUUUUAUCAAACUCUUGUAUUUUGUCUGACCUAAACUACUAUAAUUAAAUCAUAACUUUCAACAACGGAUCUCUUGGCUCUC